RNAcentral lists this ribosomal RNA (276 nucleotides) under Triticum aestivum (bread wheat). Its description in RNAcentral is "partial small subunit ribosomal RNA". Lineage: Eukaryota; Viridiplantae; Streptophyta; Magnoliopsida; Poales; Poaceae. The record is from RNAcentral.
AUGCGCUUCUAUCCUUCAAGGCAAGCCUCCUGGAUCCUGCUGGCCGUCUCUCGUCAUGGCAGGGUGAGGAUUGUUGCCAAUGGAAGGGAGUCCGCUGCAGCAACAGAACGGGCCAUCUCAUCAAGCUCAACCUCCGCAACAUCGACAUGGAAGACUACAUGGGCUACUACAUGGACAACAUGGGCUACUACAUGGACAACAUGGACUACUACAUGUACGACAUGGGCUACAUCAACAUGUACGACUACAACUACCCGAACAGGAGCAAAUCAUUGA